GAUGAACGCUGGCGGCGUGCUUAACACAUGCAAGUCGAACGGUGAACACGGAGCUUGCUCUGUGGGAUCAGUGGCGAACGGGUGAGUAACACGUGAGCAACCUGCCCCUGACUCUGGGAUAAGCGCUGGAAACGGCGUCUAAUACUGGAUAUGUGACGUGACCGCAUGGUCUGCGUUUGGAAAGAUUUUUCGGUUGGGGAUGGGCUCGCGGCCUAUCAGCUUGUUGGUGAGGUAAUGGCUCACCAAGGCGUCGACGGGUAGCCGGCCUGAGAGGGUGACCGGCCACACUGGGAUUGAGACACGGCCCAGACUCCUACGGGAGGCAGCAGUGGGGAAUAUUGCACAAUGGGCGAAAGCCUGAUGCAGCAACGCCGCGUGGGGGAUGACGGCCUUCGGGUUGUAAACCUUUUUUAGCAGGGAAGAAGCGAAAGUGACGGUACCUGCAGAAAAAGCGCCGGCUAACUACGUG
Molecule: ribosomal RNA, 469 nt
Filed under: uncultured bacterium
Lineage: Bacteria
Description: partial 16S ribosomal RNA
Rfam family: Bacterial small subunit ribosomal RNA
Source: RNAcentral